This 631-nucleotide small RNA is filed under the name Drosophila pseudoobscura pseudoobscura. RNAcentral describes it as "GA31095". The record is from RNAcentral. Lineage: Eukaryota; Metazoa; Arthropoda; Insecta; Diptera; Drosophilidae.
UUUGCUACAUAAUGGAAGGAAAAAUAGGGUGUGGACAAGAGGCAACACGGCCCAGAAAAUACAAGGUGAUAUCUACCCCAUUUGCUUAAUAUACCUUGAAAACGAAAUCGGUGAGGGGGUUCAUGCGAACUUUGCAAUUUGCCUUGGUUGUUUUUGCCUGUUGUCCAUACCCCUUUUUACAGCCCAUUCAAAAUUAGGACACAUUUUUUCGUCCCAUGAAUUAGCACUUAUCGGACCUAUCGAUAAGAUAUACCAAGAAAUGACUCCAGAAAUAUAGCAAUAAAAAAGACCUUAGCCCACUUAACUCCUUUAUAUUUAAACAGGCGACAACUGGAGCUAAGCCACGAAAAACAAAACCGUUGAUAUCAUAUUCCAUCAUUCCGAAAAUUCUAUCUGGCCCGAGAUGACAACGGUUAUGAGGUUGGGGUCUGGCAGCUCUACAUGGCGCAUUGCUUUUGAAUUUGAAUCUGUGUUUGCCAUUUGCAAUGAAAUUUGUCAAUUGUUGCAAUUUUUCGAAUUCCAUUGUCUUGCGUGAGGUGUUUCUUUAUUUAUAGAGUUGAUAAAGAUAUUCAAUGCCGGCGCAUUUGAAAUAAUCAACCGGUUUUGCUCUUUCACACUGCCUUAAAGGUUA